Molecule: long non-coding RNA, 2950 nt
Filed under: Marmota monax (woodchuck)
Lineage: Eukaryota; Metazoa; Chordata; Mammalia; Rodentia; Sciuridae
Source: RNAcentral
UAUCAGUUUAAGCCAUGAGCUAAUGUGAAACUACUCGUGAACAAUUUAUAGGGUGAGAAGAAAAGCAGAAUGAGAAAUGAAUCCUGAAGAACAUCAAUGUUGAAUAGUGGAUAGAGGAGUACCCUCCUUUUAAGACUAAGAAUGAAAAAAAAAAUAUGAGUGAUAGCAAGAUAGUGGAACAUAGAAAGGAGGAAUACAUGUAGGACACUAACAAAUGCAACAGAUGACUCCCCUGCAGUAAAAAUCUUAAAAAGUUCCUUAGGAUGAGUCUUAGCAGGGUUAAGGAUAAUGAUUGUUGGAACAGAGAAGGCAUUAUGAAUCUGGACUGCAGUAGAAUCAGGAGUGAGGAGAGGAAAUGAAGCAAUUCUACAGAUCAAUCUUCAUGAACAAAUGGGUAGGAAAGAGAAAAGUUGGUAACUGUUGGGUCACCCAAAUGUUCUGUCUUUUUUUUUUUAAUUAUGUAAGACAAUUCAGACUUUUUUUUUUUAAAAAAAAGGAAAAUUUUAAGAAAAAAGGAGAGAUUAAUGAUAAAGGAGAAAAUUAAUUAAGAAUGGCCUCAGAGAAGAAGCAAGAAAUUAGGGUUAGGGUCCCUGGGGAAAAUACCAAAGAACAAUGAUCUGGAAGUACACACAAUAAUGUCGUAGCAUUGAGGGGUUAACAGAUCAAAAUCCUCAACUUGGCAGCCAAGAAUAUUUGUAAUUUGUCUCCAAUAAAUCACGAAGUCUCACUUCCACCACUUUUUUUCCCCACAAAUUCUUCCCCUCUUACACACAUUCUUCACAUUCUGCUUUAAUCUCCAGGGUACUAAGUCUUCAGAAAACACCAUGUACUUUCAUGCUUCCAUUAUGCAAUCUUUUUUACCUUUCUCUUUAACUGUCUAUCACCCCAAAUCAAUACUCUUACCCUAAGUUUUAGGUCUAGCAGCUGCUAUAACAGGAUAUCUUAGCUGUAUAAUUUAUGGAUAACAGAAAUGUAUUGCUGAAAGUUCUAGAGACUGGGGUUGAAGAUCAAAGCACCAACAGACUGAGAAAAUUUUUUUCCUUAUAGACAGCAGCUUCUAUGUGUCUCAUGUGGUGGAAGAGGAAAUGGAGCCCUUGAGACUAUUUUAUAAUGGAAAUUAACCAACUCAUGAAGAUGAAACCUCACGACCUAAUCACACCCCAAAACCCUCACUUCCUAAUACUGUCAUAUUGGAUGUUAGGUUCAAGCAUAUGAAUUUUGGGGGUUACCAAUACUGAUAGCACAGCCCACUCCUUCAUCUCAUACCUAUCCUCCUACCCAAAGUUCACAUGGGGAAAUAUUCUAAUCAUCCUCCAGGUCUUAUAAAAAUGUCUUCUCCAAUUAAUCAUCCAGAUGCAUGUGAAAAAUCAAUACUUCUUUUCCUCCAUUCUCAUAAAUUUGUUUACUAUUCUUUCCCAUGCCUGUAUACUUGGUUGGAAUGAGAUCUGAAUGAGGCUAAGAAUCAUACUGUAUUUCUAAACUCUUAAUGUCUGGUACAGUUGCCUAGAACAUGGAACUUUUUAUAUUUUGUUGGAUGAACACCUGUAACUUCCAUGUUAAAUAUGGAUGAUGUCUCCUUUUAAAAUGAUUCCUCUAAUUAUUUAGAUACAUUAUUCAGUUUGGGAACUUAAAAAGAUUCUUAAUAAUAUUCAGAAUCCCUUGGAGUUCUACUUGAUGGAUGCUCCUGUUUUGCAUUUUCUCAUAUUACUUUGUGAUAUUGAGUUGAAUAGCAGCCAUGGAUGUGUAAUUAGUAAAAUAUGCAAAUAUUUCAUGUCAUUAUACUUCAGCUUAGAAAUCAGAAUGAAUAAUUGUUUUAUUUAAUGUGUGUGGUUGUGCAAUUUUCUUCAAAUGUCUCUCCCCAUCAUGACCCUUACUGAGAAAAUUAAUUGUGUAUCUACAUUGACUGCUUCAUUCAUUCAUCAAACAUUUAUUACCAGGCAUAUAGGUAUCAGUAAGAAUAGAUCUUCAUUUCAGAGAAUGCAAUAGGAAAUAAAUGUAGAAAACCUUUUGCUUUAUUAGAACCUUUUAUUUAGAGAAAAAUGGAUUUCAUUUAUAGAUCAUUGUCUUGGAAUUUCUUUGUUGGAGAUUAUCCCCAGAUGGUUGGGGCUCCUCAUCUGGAGUUUCCUAAUCUUACUCUAAUUUUAGUGAAGGAGACAUGUAAGAUGGCAGAUUAUCUGUAGAGUGUUCUAUAUGCAAAGUAGGAGAAUUUUUCAACACUCAACUCUUCUGCAAGGGAUAAGGUAAGGUUCCUGUCUUUCUAAUCAAAUGGAUGCAAUACUAACAUGAUUGCGUCUGAUUUAGUACACAAUAGGCUACAUUUACUUUAUAAAAUAAGUGAGUAUCAUUGGCUUCCUAUUCAUGGAACUGACUGGAUAAGAAAAUCAGAAAAAAAUCUACCUUUACUUUCUUCUCUUUACAUAUGAAAGCUGGAUGCUUCUGUUUCUUAUGAUUACCUGGUAUUGGCUAACUUCACUUAGCAUUAUCUUCUCCAAUGCAUCCAUUUACCUGCAAAUGCCAUGAAUUUGUUCUUUUUCAAUGCUGAGUAAAAUUCCAUUGUGUAUAAAAACAAAUGCUGAAUGUUUUCUCUGAUAUAAGGGGGUUGACUCAUAGUGGGGUAGGGAGGGAGAACAUGGGAGGAUUAGAUUAAUUCUAUAUAGGGAAGAGGGGUGGGAGGGAAAGGGAGGGAGCAGGGGAUUAGCAAGGAUGGUGGAAUGUGAUGAACAUCAUUAUACAAAGUACAUGUAUGAAGACUUGAAUUGGGUGUCAACACACCUUAUAUACAAACAGAGAUAUGAAAAAUUGUGGUAUGUAUGUGUAUUAAGAAUUGUAAUGCAAAGAAGUACAUGUAUAAAGGCAUAAAUUGGUGUUUACAUACUUUAUAUACACAGAUAUGAAAAAUUGUGCUCUAUAUGUGUAAUAAGAAUUGUAAUGCAUUCCACUGUUGUCAUGC